This 72-nucleotide transfer RNA is filed under the name Sorghum bicolor (sorghum). Its description in RNAcentral is "tRNA-Gln (TTG) (tRNA-Gln-TTG-7-1)". It matches the Rfam family "tRNA". Rfam says of the family: Transfer RNA (tRNA) molecules are approximately 80 nucleotides in length. Their secondary structure includes four short double-helical elements and three loops (D, anti-codon, and T loops). Lineage: Eukaryota; Viridiplantae; Streptophyta; Magnoliopsida; Poales; Poaceae. The record is from Rfam by way of RNAcentral.
GGUUCCAUAGUGUAGUGGUUAGCACUCCAGACUUUGAAUCUGGCGACCUGGGUUCGAAUCACGGUGGGACCU